CCUACGGGUGGCAGCAGUGAGGAAUAUUGGUCAAUGGACGAGAGUCUGAACCAGCCAAGUAGCGUGAAGGAUGACUGCCCUAUGGGUUGUAAACUUCUUUUAUAUGGGAAUAAAACGUUCCACGUGUGGGAUUUUGUAUGUACCAUAUGAAUAAGGAUCGGCUAACUCCGUGCCAGCAGCCGCGGUAAUACGGAGGAUCCGAGCGUUAUCCGGAUUUAUUGGGUUUAAAGGGAGCGUAGGUGGAUUGUUAAGUCAGUUGUGAAAGUUUGCGGCUCAACCGUAAAAUUGCAGUUGAGACUGGCAGUCUUGAGUACAGUAGAGGUGGGCGGAAUUCGUGGUGUAGCGGUGAAAUGCUUAGAUAUCACGAAGAACUCCGAUUGCGAAGGCAGUUCACUGGACUGCAACUGACACUGAGGCUCGAAAGUGUGGGUAUCAAACAGGAUUAGAUACCCCAGUAGUC
RNAcentral lists this ribosomal RNA (460 nucleotides) under uncultured bacterium. RNAcentral describes it as "partial 16S ribosomal RNA". It matches the Rfam family "Bacterial small subunit ribosomal RNA", at positions 338 to 795 of the family's 1533-position model. The record is from RNAcentral.